This 72-nucleotide transfer RNA is filed under the name Camelus dromedarius (Arabian camel). It matches the Rfam family "tRNA". From Rfam's summary of the family: Transfer RNA (tRNA) molecules are approximately 80 nucleotides in length. The record is from Rfam by way of RNAcentral. RNAcentral also lists the same sequence under 1 other name. Lineage: Eukaryota; Metazoa; Chordata; Mammalia; Artiodactyla; Camelidae.
GAGGAUGUAGCUCAGUGGUAGAGUGCACGCUUAGCAUGCAGGAGGUCCUGGGUUCAAUCCCCAGUACCACUG